This 119-nucleotide ribosomal RNA is filed under the name Camarhynchus parvulus. The record is from RNAcentral. Lineage: Eukaryota; Metazoa; Chordata; Aves; Passeriformes; Thraupidae.
GCCUACGGCCAUACCACCCUGAGAACGCCCGAUCUCGUCUGAUCUCGGAAGCUAAGCAGGGCCGGGCCCGGUUAGUACUUGGAUGGGAGACCGCCUGGGAAUACCGGGUGCUGUAGGCA